AAACCCUAACCCUGAAACCCUUAUUACCCAGCCACCGAAACCCCUUCCCCAAACCCAGCAGCCUAGACGCACACUGAAGAAACGGGAAACAGAUAGAGAGAGACCGAAAGAGGAAGCCCGUGAAGUCGCCGCUGAGCAACCGCCGCUGUGUCCUACCUGCGCCGCCGUUCACGCUCGUCGCCGUCCAGCCGUUGGUGCGAGCUCGUUGCCGUCGAGGAGAAGCUGCCGUCGCGUUCUGAUCGUCGUCGCGCUCUGCUGCCACGAGGUCGCCGUCGUCGUUGCUUCGAAGGGAGCCGUAGUCAUCGCCGUCAUAGUCGCCGUCGAGCAUGAAGGGUGGAGGAGAGAGAGCUCGCGUCCGAGGCUGAAGAGGAGAUGCGGUCUGCGCUGCUGCCAGGGCCCAUCGCCAUCACCGUCGCAGACAUGAGAGGGGGAAAACGAGCAGAACGCGAGGAAGAGGAGGAGUUCUCGUCACUGUUGUGUGCCCAGUCAUCACUGCUGCUUCCAAUCCCGCCGUUGAUGCUGUUGCGACUAUCACCAUUGAAGCUCGCCAAAUCUGCUCCUACUUCUGGUUUCUGGAAUCUGAGGAAAUGCCACUGCCGCUGCUGUUUGUUGGGUUCAAGAUCGUUGCUGCUGUUCUUUCUCUGUUCUGCCUCUGCUUCUAGUUUUGUAGUUUUUGGAGCCUUUGCCGCUGGGAACCAAUGUUGGAGCUGCUCUUGAUGAUUCUGAUGCUGCUACGUAGGUUCCGAGAUGCUGUGUUGUUGCCAGAGGAAGGGAACUCAUAGGAAAAACGUCACCGAGGCUGCUGUUUGGUUUGAUUGCGUUGUUAAUGCGACACUGAGGGCCCCGCUACACAUACAAGCAAAUAACGCAUACAAUCCUUACAAGUUGGUCCAACUCAGGUUUAAUCCACGCGUACUCCCUCCCUUUAAAUGGAGCGUCAAUUUCACGCGCGUCACUCGAACGAUUACGCUUCGAAAAAACCGCUCGUUAUGGCUCACUCUUCCUCUUCUCCUUUAAAGAUAACACAAAUCCUCAAAUUUCGAGUAACAUUCCAAACUGAAGAGACAUUUGAACUCGUCGCGAAUAAUAGCAGAAACCAUCAACAAAAUAUUAUUCAAGAUUCCACUAAUGGGAGCAAAAUUUUGGGACACGGAGAUUGGAGUUCAUGGAAAUGGCAAUCCAUUGGGAAGCUUGAUCUGUAUAUUACAGCUGCUGGGAUAAAUCCUAAAGGGUACAUGUGCAACAUUUUCCAUUUAUUAUUUCUUUCAAACUGUUCAAAUAUUGAUAAAAUUAAUAGCUCUAAGAUGUUUGUGUUAAAAUAUCCAAGUUUUUGGUUUAAAAGUUAUGAUGAAUAAUACUUAAAAAGCAUUUUUUGAUCGAAGUUCGUGCCCUGGGAUGAUUCUGUCGCUGUGAAUGACAUUGUUGCUGGGCUAAAAGGAUUCAGAGAUGAUGAUGUGAAGCCAUUUUCUUCUGGUUUGAAUGCAGCUGAGACUCAGGCCAUGUAAUUGCAGUGCUAGUGAGGGAGAACCAUCAAGUAGUGCUGCCCAGGCAACCAUUCAAGGACACACUGUAGUUGAAGCUCUAUGAGGAAGAAAAACACUGAAAUUGAUGAACUGUGUAUAUAUUACCAUUAAUAAAUGCAUUUAAAAUUCAGAACUAAACAAGCCUCCCCCCUCCCUUUCUUUUCUCUCUCUCCAAGAUAAUAGCCCUAAUAUCAUUACAAGGUUGAAAUAUAAUCAUACUAUUAAUGUA
Molecule: long non-coding RNA, 1752 nt
Organism: Arachis stenosperma
Lineage: Eukaryota; Viridiplantae; Streptophyta; Magnoliopsida; Fabales; Fabaceae
Exons: 4
Source: RefSeq, a predicted model, not a curated record